AGGCAGUAUAAGAAGCCAUUUUCCAUGCGUUGUGAUUCUGGACAUGACGGUGUCUUUUUACUCAAAUGAGUUCCAGCCUUAUGUCUAUAUCCCUUGAGAAAUGGGAGAGCCUAAUGAAGACUGGCAGACAAGAAACCUUCUGGCUAGAUCUAAAGGCAGAACAGGAACUCUACAAGUCUCUUCGGCAGACCCUCUGUGAAUGUGAGACUGAUAGCCGGUAAUAUUGAGUACGGGGAUCCACUUCCACUGGAAGUUCUGGAAGCAGGCAUUAAGAUAUAAGCAGUACUUAGCUGUUCAAAGAAAAGCCACAAUUCUAGCAUUAGCCAAGAGCGUGCCGUCCACCAAAGACCAUCAUUUGAAUAAAAUCCAUUAUUUCAGUCUUGAAACAAAACAAAAUAAAUUGGUGGCCUCUUCACACUCUCAUGAAGAGGAUGUUAAUCCUUUUUAGACUACUUUUCAAAGCCUUCUGCCAUCAACUCCUCAACUUUAGUCUCUUGACAUUUGCCAGUGAUCAAAGGAGCAUUAGAUUGCAGAGAAAGACAAACCCUGCAAAGUACUGCAUGUGGAAAUCACUUAUAGUUAAUGGAAUAAAAGAGGAGCACCACAGGUACAAGGGUAGGAGCCAAAAAAUACCCUUAAAUCUUGGUAAACAGAACACAUGCUCAGAUUGUAAAGGGGAUUAUAUUUCUUCAAUUUU
Long non-coding RNA from Hyla sarda, 697 nucleotides. RefSeq lists it as uncharacterized. The transcript is spliced from 3 exons. The record is from RefSeq and is a predicted model, not a curated record. Lineage: Eukaryota; Metazoa; Chordata; Amphibia; Anura; Hylidae.